RNAcentral lists this ribosomal RNA (422 nucleotides) under uncultured bacterium. RNAcentral describes it as "partial 16S ribosomal RNA". It matches the Rfam family "Bacterial small subunit ribosomal RNA", at positions 360 to 774 of the family's 1533-position model. The record is from RNAcentral.
AAUUUUGGACAAUAGGGGAAACCCUGAUCCAGCCAUCCCGCGUGUAUGAUGAAGGCCUUCGGGUUGUAAAGUACUUUUGGCAGAGAAGAAAAGUUACCUCCUAAUACGAGGUACUGCUGACGGUAUCUGCAGAAUAAGCACCGGCUAACUACGUGCCAGCAGCCGCGGUAAUACUUAGGGUGCAAGCGUUAAUCCGAAUUACUUGGCGUAAAGCGGUUGUAGGCGGUUCGGAAAGAAAGAUGUGAAAGCCCAGGGCUCAACCUUGGAACUGCAUUUUUAACUGCCGAGCUAGAGUAUGUCAGAGGGGGGUAGAAUUCCACGUGUAGCAGUGAAAUGCGUAGAUAUGUGGAGAAAUACCGAUGGCGAAGGCAGCCCCCUGGGAUAAUACUGACGCUCAGACACGAAAGCGUGGGGAGCAAACA